GUUUAUUUAGGCUCUGAUCCGAGCACUGCGAUUAGGACACUAAGGGCCGAACGCCGCGGUGAUGGGGUAGGUGGUCUACAAAUCCACUAGAAAAUUACCACGGAAUUUUAAUAAGCCAGUGCUACGUCUGUACGGUGUACAGAGUACAAAUAUUGUUUCCUAGUGAUCCCUUUUACCUUAUCAAUUUGGUAGGUACGUGCAUUGCAAACUGAAGACGACUUUUGGACCAAAGUAUUUUUAAAUGUCUUAAUUGUGUUAAUAAAUUUUCAGAAAGUUUUACCAAAUGUUUUUAAAUAUCAGAUUACCAAAAAGUUGUGUCGUUGGGUUUAAUAAUGUUUAAAAAACUGAAAGAAAAAAUAGCGGACGAAGUUAAACAAAAUCCUCGAUUGCAGGAUGGCAAGAAAACGAAGGUAUUGGAUGCCACUGCGAGUUUAGAUUCGGUAAAUCAGUUGGCUUCCCAGACCUAUUCUGCUUUUAACAAGGAGGGUUCCGGAUCCAGGGACUCCCUAACCUCGCUCAACUCACAGUUCAGUCUCACAGAGAAUCAGAUUAAGGGAACUACCCCCCUGUCCGCUAGCUCUAGUACAGGACAGUUCUUCUCUCUGGGUGAGGAUGAUGAACCAUUAAGUCUGAGUGCAGCGAAUAGUCCGACUAAAACACCUACACCUACACACCAAGAUAUACUAGGAAGUAUGACCUCUACUCCAACUGGUCGAGGUCGGAGGUUGUCUAGUGGAAGUAUGGAUGCAUCUCUAUUCCCUAUAUACGAGGAUCCGGGAUCAGAAUCCAUUCCUCUGUUCUCCGAUCUAGAAUCCACUGCUGGAUCAGAGGCUGGCUGGGAUGACAGCUCGGCUCAGCUGUCAGCUGUCAGCAAGGAACAGCUGUAUGGCAUGCUGGCGAAGAUGAGAGCAAGAUAUCAUAAAUAUAAAGGACGGUACACGGAUCUAGCUAAAGCAUACCGACACUUACAAGCAGAGAAUACGAAGGUGAAAGAGGUUAUGCAGCAAACACAGGAUAAAGCCCUCAGACGUAUUUCUGAGCUGCGGGAACAGAGUUCUUUAGAGCAGCAAGCGAAGCAGCAUUUAGAAGAGGAGCUGCGCGCAGAACUAGAAGAGAAGCAGCAUAUUAUAAAUACUCUCAAAACAAAGGUAUCUCUACUGAAAGAGCAGCAGGACAAGGAGAAAAUGAAUGGUGAAGUAGGAAAACUAAUUGAUCUAAGCAUGGACAGCGGACUGCACGAGGAGAGUAUAGGACGAGGGAAGACGGACGACGGGGGAGAUGACGAUGGAUCAGAGCAGACAAGGUCGGACGAAAUAUUAUGUGAUGAGUCGGAGAGGAAUGAUCAUCAGAACGAGAAGAUUAAACGAUUAGAAAGUUUGUUGAACAAAUGCAAGGAGAAUAUCAAGGCAAACAAGCAGAAAAUAGGAGCUUUGUCUGAAGUAAAGGAGCAGCUUGCCGAGCAGCUUCUGAACAAAGAGAAGCAGCUUGAGCAGCUUACAGAAAGAAAUUCUAAACUUGAGGAUGACGUUGAGAAAGCCCGAGCUCGCGAGCAGAGCGAGGAGAUACAACUGGCGGAGACAAAGCUAGUCAUGCACAAAGAACUCCUAGAGAAGGAUGAACAGAUGGGAGAGCUCCGACGGUUACUGACAGUAGAGCAGGAGGAGGUGAAGAGGAAGGAGCAGGAGCUGGAGGUGCUGAGGAGGGAAAAGGAGAAGGAGGUGGCAGACUUUAGGUUGGAGAUUAAGGAGAUGGAGAAGGCACAGGCUAGCAUGGAGCUCAGACUGGAGGAGGAGAGGAAAACGGCAAUGGAGAUGAAUUACAAAGUUGAGGAACUGUCCCGAGGAAAGGAGGCAGCCCUUGAACAUGAACGGACUCGACUCAACUUACUUCAUAAAAAGGAGGUGGAGAGGGAAUUAAAAAGACAGGAAGAGGAGAUGAGGAGAAGGAUGGAGGAGGUUGAGGAGGAGGGGAGACUGGGGAAAGAGGAAAUGGAACUCAGAUUAUCUGUACUUUCUGGAUCUGAGCAACAAAAAGCACGGCAGCUGUCGCAACUGCAGCAGCAGUUGUCUCACAUUCAAGAUGAGAAAGCUGCUCUUCAAUCACAACUUGAGAGCAGCAAAGAGAACAGCGCAGAAACCAGGAAAAUGGUUGAACAGGUAUCCGAGCUUGAGAGGGUGAAGUCUGAUAUUCAGGGAUUAAAGGCAGAGAAGAUAAUUCUGGAGGAGAAGGUUGGAAACCUAACCAAGGAGCUCCAGGCCUGUAAAAAGGAGAUCGUUAGUAAAGAGGACGUGGAGCGAAGUUUGUUGGAGGAUCUGGAGACCGUUAAAAGAACGAUUAAAGAUAAGGAGGUCGGCCUUCUAGAGGUUCAGAAGGAGCUCACCAAGUAUAAGGAGGACACUGAAAAACUACAGAAGGAGAAGACGAAACUGCAGGAGUUUGGGAAAAAGAAGAAAGUUGAACUAGAGAAUAAGGAGAAGGAGUUUAAAGAAAAGCUGGAUAAGAACAAGACUGAAAUGAAAGUAAGCUUAGAAGAGAAGCAAUCUAGUUUUAAAUCCCAAAUUGAUGAAAAAAACAAUAAGAUUUCUGAGAUGCUAGAGUCCUUGGCCAAGUGUGAAGAGGAGAUUAAGGGGUAUGAAACUAAGCUGCAUAAAGCAGAGCAGCUCCGACGUGAUGAGAGUGAGAUGCAUAUGAAGAAGCUACGUGCUCUGGAGUCCCAACUAACAGCUGUAGGAGAGGAUAAGGAGUCCUCUCUUCAAUCCAGAAUAGAUAUUCUUAAUGAAUCUCACUCCACGGAGUUAAAAGAGAAGGAGAGCGAGAUUAAACGUUUGCAGACGGAGAUUAAAACAUUCUCGGAUUCUUAUCAUGAGAUGGAGGACAGGUUGAAGAUAAACCUGGAGAGCAGUCUCAAGUCCGAGGAGGAGAUGGAGAUCAAGUUCAAGGAUAUGGAACAGAAACUUGUAGAUUUCAACACAACACAGACCAAACUUUCAGAAGUAGAGAAAUAUAAAUCUGCCCUGGAGGCGAAAGUAAAGGAAUUGAAGUCAGGUGCUGAGAAACAGAAAAACAAGAUGGAGGAACUGGAAAGAAACAAGAUGGCUGAACUGGAGAAAGUUCUGGCGGAGAAAGAACAGGUUUCUAACGAACUUUGUCAGACAAAAACUACCGUUAAAAAUCUUGAAGCUAAUUUGAGCAGUAGUGAGAGUAAAAACUCUGAAUUAAGCCAGAAAAUCAGUGAGAUAUUUGAGAAAAGUACGCAGCAGAAUUGUGAGCGAGUUUCAGAGCUGGAGACAGAACUUGAGACGAUCAGAUUAAACCUUAGAGAGACGGAGUCAACACUUGAGACCAAGGUUGAUGAACUACGGGAUGCAAACGAACGCGUUGAAGAUCUACAAAAUAUUCUAGAAAAGCUACAAGACGUCGAGGCUAAGAACAAAUGCCUGGAAGAUCAACUUGAUCAGAAGGUUCUUGAGCUGAGGGAGAGUAACGAGGAGCUUGAAGAGCUCAAGAGGAUGACGGAGGAGCAGAAGAUUGGUCUGGAGCAGGAGCUGGAGCACCUCAAGUUGAUCAGCAGGCAGGAGAACGGCAGCAGGGGGGACAUGGAGAAAGAGUUGAUAAGUCUCAAGGAUCAGUUGAACUCUAAACAAGCUUUGCAAGAUCAAAUGGUAACUUACGAGAAGGAAUUGCAAUCAAGGAUAUCUGAGUAUGAAGGAGAAAAAAGCAACCUGGAGAAUAGGUUGAGAGUGGAGGAGGAGAAGGUGCAAAACCUGCAGGAGGAGAUCAACAACCUCAACCUCCACUAUCAGGAGGAAGCGGACAGACAUAAACAAGAUUUAGAGAUGAAAAUCAGGCUGGAGAGGGAGAAGGAGAACUCCCAGAAGGAGUUCAAGAUGCAGAGUAUUGAAUACGAGAAGAGACUCCAGGAUCAGCUUCAGGAGAAAAAUUCAAGAAUUGAUCAGUUGGUCCAAGAAAUGGAAUCCUUCAAGAAAGAGCAGGGUCAAAUUGUAAAUUCAAAUGAAAAGGAAAUAUCAAGCCUUCAGGCACAAAUACACUCUAUAUCCUCAUCCCUGGCCAAGAGAGAAAACGAAAUAAGGAAUCUUGGGGAGAAGCGAGAACAGUUAGAGUCAAUAUUAGAGGAGAAGGAGAAAGGAGUUCAGGAGUUGGAGACCCAGCUGGAGAACAAGGAAACUGAGCUUAAGGAGGCUCAUGUUAAAUCUGCCAAAAUCCAGGAGAAAUAUGAACACCAGAUUUCUGAACUAAAAGAUCAAGUAAAAGAGUUUACAAAUACCCUGACUCUUCGGAACCAGGCCUUUGACAACCUCAAGCAGGAGUUGGAGAUUAGUAAGACGGAACUAGAAACCAACAAAUUAGUAUAUACCAACAAAAUGGCGGAACAUGAAAAGAAAAUGGCCGACAUUGAAAACAAGAUGGCUACUGCUGACUCAGAAGUAAAGAAACUGAGUAAGAGUCGGGACAGGUUGAAGAGUUUGUUGGAGGAGAAGGAGAAGGCCUUGAAGGAUCUUAAUCAGCAAAAGGAGAUGAUAUUCGGAUCUCAGGAGGAGCUGAACACCCAGACACAGGAACAAGUUCGAACUCUCUCUGCGGAGAUUGACCGGCUUAACCAGAGGAAUUCAGUUCUAGAAUCUGAAAUUCAAACAUCUAGUGAAACUUCAGCCACCCUGAGGAUUGAGAAGACCGACCUGAAAGAUCAGCUGGAGAAGAUGUCGGUGGAGAUGAACAAGAUGAAGAAGGAGUCCGAGAAGUUCUCUGAGAAGCAGAGUAUGCUGGAGGAGGAGAGGGACGGGUUGAGGGAGGAGAUAAACCAGCUGGAGAUAAGUUUUGUCGAGGUUGAGAUGGAGAGGAAAAGGUUGGAAGAAUCUUCAACUAAUUCCGCAGAACUUCAAACUAUACUCAAGCAAACAGAAAGUGAGCUGUUGAGUCGUAACGAAGAAAUUUCGUUACUCCAGAUAAAACUUGAUCAGUUGGAGAACUUGAGCUAUAACGAACUUAAGGAGGAGAAUGCAAUGCUCAGUGAGAGAUUAAGUCAGUUUGAGGAAGAACGAUCAGAACUCGGACAUUCGGGGAAUAGUAAUCAUAAUGAUCAAAUAGAGAAGCUUCAAGAUAAUCAUGCAAAAGAUAUUGCAAGGUUACGGGAAGAGAUCUCUAGCCUGGAGGUUGAACUGGAGGACUGGAGAAGAACUGGAGGAUCUGAUUUAUCUGAUGAAACUGAACUCCGGUUGAAGAACCUUAUCAGGGAGUGGGAGAGGAAACUAGCGCUCAAAGAUAACGAACAUAUCCAGGAGCUUGAAAAUAUGAGGGAACAGCAGGAGCUGGAGAUAAAACGGAUCCAACAGGAACAUAGAUCAGCAAUUAGCAGGUUUACGGAGGAGAUGAGGGAACAUCAGAGGAUAGUUGAUAUGCUGGAGGGGGAGAGGGAUGAGUUGAAGAGGAGGGUGGGCGAGGGGGAGAAAGAAGAGGAGGGGAGUAUGAGGGAGCUCGAGUUGAAGCAAAGGAUCGAGGAGCUUGAGGAUAGGAUUGUCAGCUUGUCUAGGGAUCAGAAAAAGGAUUGGGGUUGGGAUGAUGGGGAUGAGAUGAUGAGUAUGACAGAUGAUUCUCCAGCUAUAUUUGGAGUUCCAAACCAUCAACCUCAUCCAGCUAACUCCAAACCAAACCAUAAUAAUUCAGUCAAAUAUGCGAGUAUGGAUGAGAGUCCUGAGUUUGAGUACCUGAAGAAUAUCCUUUAUGAAUAUAUGCUCGGAAGACAACCUUUAAUCCUGGUUAAGGUGUUGGCUGCAAUUGUGAAAUUCACGCCGGAACAGGUUUCUGAGAUUAUACGAGCAGAAGAGAGGAAACAGUCCUACCUUGCUCCACUAGGAUUAUCCUAGCUAGAGGUUUGGUCCAUCACCAUCACUGAAUUUUAAAUCUUCAAUUUGUACUCGGAGUACAUACGCUGAUGUAAAGUUCUCUGUGAUCUCUUCCAGUAUCUGUGAUUUAGAAACUAUAUAAUUAAUUUCAUCUGUAUCUAGCUCCACACUACAUAAUAUACAUAACUUUUCAAUACAUAGGUUCUAAUUUAAUAUCUAAUUGUAAUCUUGACUCAUAGGUAUUGAUCAGUGAUGUACAUGGAAUUUUUUCUUUCAAGGGGGGACUCAGCGUCCGUUGGGGCC
Molecule: RNA transcript, 6164 nt
Organism: Eurytemora carolleeae
Lineage: Eukaryota; Metazoa; Arthropoda; Copepoda; Calanoida; Temoridae
Gene name: golgin subfamily A member 4
Exons: 39
Source: RefSeq, a predicted model, not a curated record